RNAcentral lists this ribosomal RNA (734 nucleotides) under Acinetobacter baumannii. RNAcentral describes it as "bacterial SSU rRNA". It matches the Rfam family "Bacterial small subunit ribosomal RNA", at positions 20 to 748 of the family's 1533-position model. The record is from RNAcentral. Lineage: Bacteria; Pseudomonadati; Pseudomonadota; Gammaproteobacteria; Moraxellales; Moraxellaceae.
CUGCUCAGAUUGAACGCUGGCGGCAGGUUUAACACAUGCAAGUCGAGCGGGGGAAGGUAGCUUGCUACCGGACCUAGCGGCGGACGGGUGAGUAAUGCUUAGGAAUCUGCCUAUUAGUGGGGGACAACAUCUCGAAAGGGAUGCUAAUACCGCAUACGUCCUACGGGAGAAAGCAGGGGAUCUUCGGACCUUGCGCUAAUAGAUGAGCCUAAGUCGGAUUAGCUAGUUGGUGGGGUAAAGGCCUACCAAGGCGACGAUCUGUAGCGGGUCUGAGAGGAUGAUCCGCCACACUGGGACUGAGACACGGCCCAGACUCCUACGGGAGGCAGCAGUGGGGAAUAUUGGACAAUGGGGGGAACCCUGAUCCAGCCAUGCCGCGUGUGUGAAGAAGGCCUUAUGGUUGUAAAGCACUUUAAGCGAGGAGGAGGCUACUUUAGUUAAUACCUAGAGAUAGUGGACGUUACUCGCAGAAUAAGCACCGGCUAACUCUGUGCCAGCAGCCGCGGUAAUACAGAGGGUGCGAGCGUUAAUCGGAUUUACUGGGCGUAAAGCGUGCGUAGGCGGCUUAUUAAGUCGGAUGUGAAAUCCCCGAGCUUAACUUGGGAAUUGCAUUCGAUACUGGUGAGCUAGAGUAUGGGAGAGGAUGGUAGAAUUCCAGGUGUAGCGGUGAAAUGCGUAGAGAUCUGGAGGAAUACCGAUGGCGAAGGCAGCCAUCUGGCCUAAUACUGACGCUG